Molecule: long non-coding RNA, 259 nt
Organism: Polistes canadensis
Lineage: Eukaryota; Metazoa; Arthropoda; Insecta; Hymenoptera; Vespidae
Exons: 2
Source: RefSeq, a predicted model, not a curated record
AUAUGAUGAAAUUUCUUUUUAUUGAUUAAAGAUAGAAAAUAAUUUGUAUUAUUUUUUAGGGAAGCGAUACUUCAGCUAAUACGCUUACAUUUUUAUUUUUAAUGCUUACCACGUUUCCGGACAUUCAAUUCACGAAGAGUUGUACAAUAARYACGGUUCAAGCGGUACAAAAGAUAUUCCUAUUACAAUGGAAGAUACUAAGAAAAUGUAAUAUUUAGAACGAGUCAUCAAGGAGACUUUACAUCUUUUUCCUCCCGGC